Molecule: long non-coding RNA, 161 nt
Organism: Bradysia coprophila
Lineage: Eukaryota; Metazoa; Arthropoda; Insecta; Diptera; Sciaridae
Source: RefSeq, a predicted model, not a curated record
UUUAGUUGAAGCAAUCAAAUUCAUUUGACACAAUACAUACACAUUUUUCAGUUGAUUAAUUACUGUACCAACUACAUAAAUACCGAACGAUUUAAAUGCAAAGUGAUACAAGUCAGGUUCUGUUUUCAAUUGAUCAAUUAGUUUUGUGAUUGUAGAGUUCG